This 492-nucleotide ribosomal RNA is filed under the name uncultured bacterium. RNAcentral's name for it is "partial 16S ribosomal RNA". It matches the Rfam family "Bacterial small subunit ribosomal RNA", at positions 29 to 507 of the family's 1533-position model. The record is from RNAcentral.
AGUGAACGCUGGCGGUAGGCCUAACACAUGCAAGUCGAACGGCAGCACAGUAAGAGCUUGCUCUUACGGGUGGCGAGUGGCGGACGGGUGAGGAAUACAUCGGAAUCUACUUUUUCGUGGGGGAUAACGUAGGGAAACUUACGCUAAUACCGCAUACGACCUACGGUUGAAAGCAGGGGAUCUUCGUACCUUGCGCGAUUGAAUGCGCCGAUGUCGGAUUAGCUAGUUGGCGGGGUAAAGGCCCACCAAGGCGACGAUCCGUAGCUGGUCUGAGAGGAUGAUCAGCCACACUGGAACUGAGACACGGUCCAGACUCCUACGGGAGGCAGCAGUGGGGAAUAUUGGACAAUGGGCGCAAGCCUGAUCCAGCCAUACCGCGUGGGUGAAGAAGGCCUUCGGGUUGUAAAGCCCUUUUGUUGGGAAAGAAAAGCAGCAGGUUAAUACCCCGCUGUUCUGACGGUACCCAAAGAAUAAGCACCGGCUAACUUCGUG